AGGGCACCACCCACCGUGGAGCCUGGGGGUUAAUUUAACUUAACUCGGGAAAACUCACCCGGCCCGGACACCGGAAGGAUUGACUGAAUGAAAGCUCUUUUUUAAUUCCGUGGGGGGUGGGGCGUGGGCGGUCUUAUUUGGUGGAGCGAUUUUUCUGGUUAUUUUUCCUAACAAAAAAGACUCUGGCCUAUUACAAAUACAGUAUAUGUUUAUAUAUAACACGCAUCUCCUACGGAGAAGAGGGGCCUCCCCCCAUGAAAAAAAAAAAUAAAAAGGCGGUGAUGUCCUUAGAUGUCCUGGGCUGUCCGCGGGUGACCCUGAGCUACACUGAAAGAACCGUUGUGCGUCGUCGGAUAAGACGGAACAACCGAAAUACUUUCUUGCUUGCUUUCGGGGGUGGGAAUUAUUUUUCCUAUUAAGCGCUUAAACCAAAUAUUGCGAGUAAAAGCGGGUCGUUUACUUCCGUUCAUUUCGUUCAAGCCCUCCGUCCCACUACCCAUCGGUGGGGGCGAUUGAGUG
RNAcentral lists this ribosomal RNA (519 nucleotides) under uncultured eukaryote. RNAcentral describes it as "partial 18S ribosomal RNA". It matches the Rfam family "Eukaryotic small subunit ribosomal RNA", at positions 1161 to 1695 of the family's 1831-position model. The record is from RNAcentral.